This is a long non-coding RNA of Homo sapiens (human), 797 nucleotides long. Ensembl annotates it as long intergenic non-protein coding RNA 1927. The record is from Ensembl. Lineage: Eukaryota; Metazoa; Chordata; Mammalia; Primates; Hominidae.
AUGGAAACAAACUGAGUUUGUCAAGCCAGAAAGCAACCCUCCAGCAUCCAGAUUACCCUUCGAAGACGGCAAAGAAAAAGAGAGCUCUGAAAUCACUCAACGCAUAGGAGCUGGUUCUAUAAUUUUUAGACUUUAAUUAAAUCAAUUAUUAAAGCCUUUCUUAAUGCCUUGCUGAGAUAUUCAGGCUCGGGCUGCCUCAGGAGAGAGGAAGUGGUUGAAUGCACAGAGGUGGCUAAUAAGGAGGUAGAACACUGGAUGAGCCACAGAAAGCACACAGGACUUUGCUGUGGAAGAGUCAAAGAUCCACGUGGGAGCAUCCCGUAGGGGACUUGCGUUUCAGAUCAGAUGAUGCUUUUCAUGUAUGUCCAGCAGCAAGAGAGUCCUUCACUGGUGAAAAAUCACGGGCCUCAGAGCAGAUUUUAGUUCAUCUUUCAUUUCAAAGCACUCCUUAGAUAUCUGCAAAUUAAAUCCCCUAAUUUGGUGAGGACGCCCAGCUUCCCAAAUAACAAGGCUUUUCCUUUGAUUCUAACCAAGUGAGCCGGCCCUGCAAAAGCCGGGGUGCGUGUUCUGGCUCCAGGCUUCUGAGCAGCCUUUCUCCCCACGCUGCAGCUUUUCAGUUAGGAAGUCAGAGAGAAGGAAAGAGAACUAUUUCCAAUUCAAUCACGAGCAUGUCUACGCACCACUGAAGACAGACCUUUGUCCUGUUGCUUUCCAAACUUUAAAUGUGAAUUUUUCUUCUUAUGAUGACUGGUGUACUCUGUUAUUCUGAAAAAAGAAAAAGCCAUAAGCACCCUGAA